GGAGCGGUGGCAGAGCCAGGUUGAAUGCAGCUGCCUUGAAAGCAGCCGGCCGGAGACGGCCCGGGGGUUCGAAUCCCUCCCGCUCCG
Molecule: transfer RNA, 87 nt
Filed under: Actinomycetota bacterium
Lineage: Bacteria; Bacillati; Actinomycetota
Description: tRNA-Ser
Rfam family: tRNA
About the family: Transfer RNA (tRNA) molecules are approximately 80 nucleotides in length. Their secondary structure includes four short double-helical elements and three loops (D, anti-codon, and T loops). Further hydrogen bonds mediate the characteristic L-shaped molecular structure. tRNAs have two regions of fundamental functional importance: the anti-codon, which is responsible for specific mRNA codon recognition, and the 3' end, to which the tRNAs corresponding amino acid is attached (by aminoacyl-tRNA synthetases). tRNAs cope with the degeneracy of the genetic code in two manners: having more than one tRNA (with a specific anti-codon) for a particular amino acid; and 'wobble' base-pairing, i.e. permitting non-standard base-pairing at the 3rd anti-codon position.
Source: RNAcentral